Molecule: long non-coding RNA, 349 nt
Organism: Chiroxiphia lanceolata (lance-tailed manakin)
Lineage: Eukaryota; Metazoa; Chordata; Aves; Passeriformes; Pipridae
Exons: 3
Source: RefSeq, a predicted model, not a curated record
CACAUCGUACAGCACUGCUGGGACAGACACUGGCUGGGCUGAAAUGGGGCCCUGCAUCGAGGGUGUGGGGAGAUCAGGAUGGAGGCUGUGGCAGGGCUCUUUUUAAACUCACUCUGCAAGGCUCAGAAGGGGAGGGCAGGAAUAAAAAGGCAGUGUCUUUCAAAAUCAGCCUCACCCUCACAGCUCAGCAGUGCUGCAACGUGCUUUUGAAUUUAACUGAAGAGGGUGCUUUUAUAUGUCACUGCUCUGCCCCAAAAUCAAGUAUACUCUAUUAUACCCUGGAGUCUUAACUUCUUUGGUCAAUCUCCAGGAUGAAAAAAUCUUCAGCACUGUGCAAAUACAUCAGCUC